GGUUAAGCGACUAAGCGUACACGGUGGAUGCCCUGGCAGUCAGAGGCGAUGAAGGACGUGCUAAUCUGCGAUAAGCGCCGGUAAGGUGAUAUGAACCGUUAUAACCGGCGAUUUCCGAAUGGGGAAACCCAGUGUGACUCGUCACACUAUCAUUAACUGAAUCCAUAGGUUAAUGAGGCGAACCGGGGGAACUGAAACAUCUAAGUACCCCGAGGAAAAGAAAUCAACCGAGAUUCCCCCAGUAGCGGCGAGCGAACGGGGAGGAGCCCAGAGCCUGAAUCAGCAUGUGUGUUAGUGGAAGCGUCUGGAAAGGCGCGCGAUACAGGGUGACAGCCCCGUACACAAAAGCGCAUGUGCUGUGAGCUCGAUGAGUAGGGCGGGACACGUGGUAUCCUGUCUGAAUAUGGGGGGACCAUCCUCCAAGGCUAAAUACUCCUGACUGACCGAUAGUGAACCAGUACCGUGAGGGAAAGGCGAAAAGAACCCCGGCGAGGGGAGUGAAAAAGAACCUGAAACCGUGUACGUACAAGCAGUGGGAGCACAGGUUUACCUGUGUGACUGCGUACCUUUUGUAUAAUGGGUCAGCGACUUAUAUUCUGUAGCAAGGUUAACCGUAUAGGGGAGCCGUAGGGAAACCGAGUCUUAACCGGGCGUUAAGUUGCAGGGUAUAGACCCGAAACCCGGUGAUCUAGCCAUGGGCAGGUUGAAGGUUGGGUAACACUAACUGGAGGACCGAACCGACUAAUGUUGAAAAAUUAGCGGAUGACCUGUGGCUGGGGGUGAAAGGCCAAUCAAACCGGGAGAUAGCUGGUUCUCCCCGAAAGCUAUUUAGGUAGCGCCUCGUGAAUUCAUCUCCGGGGGUAGAGCACUGUUUCGGCUAGGGGGCCAUCCCGGCUUACCAACCCGAUGCAAACUGCGAAUACCGGAGAAUGUUAUCACGGGAGACACACGGCGGGUGCUAACGUCCGUCGUGAAGAGGGAAACAACCCAGACCGCCAGCUAAGGUCCCAAAGUCAUGGUUAAGUGGGAAACGAUGUGGGAAGGCCCAGACAGCCAGGAUGUUGGCUUAGAAGCAGCCAUCAUUUAAAGAAAGCGUAAUAGCUCACUGGUCGAGUCGGCCUGCGCGGAAGAUGUAACGGGGCUAAACCAUGCACCGAAGCUGCGGCAGCGAACGUAUCACUUAAAGCGAUUCAGCGGGUUACGAUUGACGGAGCGAAGCGACGUCAAAGCGUAUACAAAGUCGAGUCGGUUUAAGGAUACGUUCGUUGGGUAGGGGAGCGUUCUGUAAGCCUGUGAAGGUGGCCUGUGAGGGUUGCUGGAGGUAUCAGAAGUGCGAAUGCUGACAUAAGUAACGAUAAAGCGGGUGAAAAGCCCGCUCGCCGGAAGACCAAGGGUUCCUGUCCAACGUUAAUCGGGGCAGGGUGAGUCGACCCCUAAGGCGAGGCCGAAAGGCGUAGUCGAUGGGAAACGGGUUAAUAUUCCCGUACUUGGUGUUACUGCGAAGGGGGGACGGAGAAGGCUAUGUUGGCCGGGCGACGGUUGUCCCGGUUUAAGCGUGUAGGUGUGUGUUCCAGGUAAAUCCGGUUCACUUUAACACUGAGGCGUGAUGACGAGGCACCACGGUGCUGAAGCAACAAAUGCCCUGCUUCCAGGAAAAGCCUCUAAGCAUCAGGUAACAUCAAAUCGUACCCCAAACCGACACAGGUGGUCAGGUAGAGAAUACCAAGGCGCUUGAGAGAACUCGGGUGAAGGAACUAGGCAAAAUGGUGCCGUAACUUCGGGAGAAGGCACGCUGACACGUAGGUGAAGUGAUUUACUCAUGGAGCUGAAGUCAGUCGAAGAUACCAGCUGGCUGCAACUGUUUAUUAAAAACACAGCACUGUGCAAACACGAAAGUGGACGUAUACGGUGUGACGCCUGCCCGGUGCCGGAAGGUUAAUUGAUGGGGUCAGCGCAAGCGAAGCUCCUGAUCGAAGCCCCGGUAAACGGCGGCCGUAACUAUAACGGUCCUAAGGUAGCGAAAUUCCUUGUCGGGUAAGUUCCGACCUGCACGAAUGGCGUAAUGAUGGCCAGGCUGUCUCCACCCGAGACUCAGUGAAAUUGAACUCGCUGUGAAGAUGCAGUGUACCCGCGGCAAGACGGAAAGACCCCGUGAACCUUUACUAUAGCUUGACACUGAACAUUGAGCCUUGAUGUGUAGGAUAGGUGGGAGGCUUUGAAGCGUGGACGCCAGUCUGCGUGGAGCCAACCUUGAAAUACCACCCUUUAAUGUUUGAUGUUCUAACGUGGACCCGUAAUCCGGGUUGCGGACAGUGUCUGGUGGGUAGUUUGACUGGGGCGGUCUCCUCCUAAAGAGUAACGGAGGAGCACGAAGGUUGGCUAAUCCUGGUCGGACAUCAGGAGGUUAGUGCAAUGGCAUAAGCCAGCUUGACUGCGAGCGUGACGGCGCGAGCAGGUGCGAAAGCAGGUCAUAGUGAUCCGGUGGUUCUGAAUGGAAGGGCCAUCGCUCAACGGAUAAAAGGUACUCCGGGGAUAACAGGCUGAUACCGCCCAAGAGUUCAUAUCGACGGCGGUGUUUGGCACCUCGAUGUCGGCUCAUCACAUCCUGGGGCUGAAGUAGGUCCCAAGGGUAUGGCUGUUCGCCAUUUAAAGUGGUACGCGAGCUGGGUUUAGAACGUCGUGAGACAGUUCGGUCCCUAUCUGCCGUGGGCGCUGGAGAACUGAGGGGGGCUGCUCCUAGUACGAGAGGACCGGAGUGGACGCAUCACUGGUGUUCGGGUUGUCAUGCCAAUGGCACUGCCCGGUAGCUAAAUGCGGAAGAGAUAAGUGCUGAAAGCAUCUAAGCACGAAACUUGCCCCGAGAUGAGUUCUCCCUGAGACUUUAGGUCUCCUGAAGGAACGUUGAAGACGACGACGUUGAUAGGCCGGGUGUGUAAGCGCAGCGAUGCGUUGAGCUAACCGGUACUAAUGAACCGUGAGGCUUAACCUU
Molecule: ribosomal RNA, 2989 nt
Filed under: Salmonella enterica subsp. enterica serovar Muenchen
Lineage: Bacteria; Pseudomonadati; Pseudomonadota; Gammaproteobacteria; Enterobacterales; Enterobacteriaceae
Description: 23S ribosomal RNA
Rfam family: Bacterial large subunit ribosomal RNA
Source: RNAcentral